This 319-nucleotide ribosomal RNA is filed under the name uncultured eukaryote. RNAcentral's name for it is "partial 18S ribosomal RNA". It matches the Rfam family "Eukaryotic small subunit ribosomal RNA", at positions 1470 to 1796 of the family's 1831-position model. The record is from RNAcentral.
CCCUUAGAUGAUUUGGGCUGCACGCGCGCUACACUGACCCUAACAAUGAGCAACUGUCUGGCCUGAGAUGGCUGGGUAGCCUUUUCAACCCAUGUCAUGAUUGGGCUAGAUUUUUGUAAGUCUUGAUCUCUAACGAGGAAUCCCUAGUAUGCGUGAAUCAUCAAUCCAUGCAGAUUAUGUCCCUGCCCUUUGUACACACCGCCCGCCGCUCCUACUGAUUGGGUGAUCCGGUGAGCUGUUCGGCCAUAGCAAUGUUUCUUGAGCAGGGCAAUGAAGGUUUCGCAAACCUUGCCACUUAGAGGAAGGAGAAGUCGUAACA